RNAcentral lists this ribosomal RNA (524 nucleotides) under uncultured bacterium. Its description in RNAcentral is "partial 16S ribosomal RNA". It matches the Rfam family "Bacterial small subunit ribosomal RNA", at positions 28 to 523 of the family's 1533-position model. The record is from RNAcentral.
GACGAACGCUGGCGGCGUGCCUAAUACAUGCAAGUCGAACGAAGCUGUUUUAACUGGUGCUUGCACCGACUUAAACAACUGAGUGGCGAACGGGUGAGUAACACGUGGGUAACCUGCCCCAAAGCGGGGGAUAACAUUUGGAAACAGAUGCUAAUACCGCAUAACCACAGAAACCACAUGGUUUCUGUGUCAAAGAUGGUUUCGGCUAUCACUUUGGGAUGGACCCGCGGCGUAUUAGCUAGUUGGUAAGGUAAUGGCUUACCAAGGCAAUGAUACGUAGCCGAACUGAGAGGUUGAUCGGCCACAUUGGGACUGAGACACGGCCCAAACUCCUACGGGAGGCAGCAGUAGGGAAUCUUCCACAAUGGACGAAAGUCUGAUGGAGCAACGCCGCGUGAGUGAAGAAGGUCUUCGGAUCGUAAAACUCUGUUGUCAGAGAAGAACGUGUGCGAGAGUAACUGUUCGUGCAGUGACGGUAUCCGGCCAGAAAGCCACGGCUAACUACGUGCCAGCCGCCGCAGUAA